UGACGGUACCUGACUAAGAAGCCCCGGCUAACUACGUGCCAGCAGCCGCGGUAAUACGUAGGGGGCAAGCGUUAUCCGGAUUUACUGGGUGUAAAGGGCGUGUAGGCGGGACUGCAAGUCAGAUGUGAAAGCACGGGGCUCAACUCCGUGUCUGCAUUUGAAACUGUAGUUCUUGAGUGCUGGAGAGGCUAACGGAAUUCCUAGUGUAGCGGUGAAAUGCGUAGAUAUUAGGAGGAACACCAGUGGCGAAGGCGGUUAGCUGGACAGUAACUGACGCUGAGGCGCGAAAGCGUGGGUAGCAAACAGGAUUAGAUACCCUG
RNAcentral lists this ribosomal RNA (320 nucleotides) under uncultured bacterium. RNAcentral's name for it is "bacterial SSU rRNA". It matches the Rfam family "Bacterial small subunit ribosomal RNA", at positions 470 to 789 of the family's 1533-position model. The record is from RNAcentral.